This 72-nucleotide transfer RNA is filed under the name Sphaerodactylus townsendi. RNAcentral's name for it is "tRNA-Ala". It matches the Rfam family "tRNA". Rfam says of the family: Transfer RNA (tRNA) molecules are approximately 80 nucleotides in length. Their secondary structure includes four short double-helical elements and three loops (D, anti-codon, and T loops). Further hydrogen bonds mediate the characteristic L-shaped molecular structure. tRNAs have two regions of fundamental functional importance: the anti-codon, which is responsible for specific mRNA codon recognition, and the 3' end, to which the tRNAs corresponding amino acid is attached (by aminoacyl-tRNA synthetases). tRNAs cope with the degeneracy of the genetic code in two manners: having more than one tRNA (with a specific anti-codon) for a particular amino acid; and 'wobble' base-pairing, i.e. permitting non-standard base-pairing at the 3rd anti-codon position. The record is from RNAcentral. Lineage: Eukaryota; Metazoa; Chordata; Lepidosauria; Squamata; Sphaerodactylidae.
GGGGCUGAGGCUCAGUGGAACAGCUUCUACUUUGCAAGCGGAAGAUCGCAGGUUCAAUCCCUGGCAUCUCCA